GAUGAACGCUGGCGGCGUGCCUAAUACAUGCAAGUCGAGCGGACGGACGAGAAGCUUGCGUCUCUGAUGUUAGCGGCGGGGGGGUGAGUAACACGUGGAUCACCUACCUAUAAGAGUGGGAUAACUUCGGGAAAGCGGAGCUAAUAGCGGAUAAUAUUUUGAACCGCGUGGUUCAAAAGUGAAAGACGGUGGUGGUGGCACUUAUAGAUGGAUCCGCGCUUCAUUAGAUAGUUGGUAAGGUAACGGGUUACCAAGGCAACGAUGCAUAGCCGACCUGAGAGGGUGAUAGGCCACACUGGAACUGGGACACGGUCCAGACUCCUAAGGGAGGCAGCAGUAGGCAAUCUGACGCAGAGGGCGAAAGUAUGACGGAGUAACGCCGCGCGUGUGAUGAAGGUCUUCGGAUCGUAAAAAUCUGUUACUAGGGAAGAACAUAUGUGUAAGUAACUGUGCACAUCUUGACGGUACCUAAUCAGAAAGCCACGGCUAACUACGUG
RNAcentral lists this ribosomal RNA (497 nucleotides) under uncultured bacterium. RNAcentral's name for it is "partial 16S ribosomal RNA". It matches the Rfam family "Bacterial small subunit ribosomal RNA", at positions 28 to 507 of the family's 1533-position model. The record is from RNAcentral.